CAGGAGAUAGUUUAAUGUAAAAUAUUAAUUUUGGAGAUUAAUGAUAAGGAGUUCAUCUUUUCCCCUGA
This 68-nucleotide transfer RNA is filed under the name Clephydroneura sp. Its description in RNAcentral is "tRNA-Pro". It matches the Rfam family "tRNA". From Rfam's summary of the family: Transfer RNA (tRNA) molecules are approximately 80 nucleotides in length. Their secondary structure includes four short double-helical elements and three loops (D, anti-codon, and T loops). The record is from RNAcentral. Lineage: Eukaryota; Metazoa; Arthropoda; Insecta; Diptera; Asilidae.